GCCUGGUUAGUACUUGGAUGGGAGACCGCCUGGGAAUACUGGGU
Ribosomal RNA from Aotus nancymaae (Ma's night monkey), 44 nucleotides. The record is from Ensembl. NCBI's taxonomy places the organism in Eukaryota, Metazoa, Chordata, Mammalia, Primates, Aotidae.